RNAcentral lists this non-coding RNA (21 nucleotides) under Rattus norvegicus (Norway rat). Lineage: Eukaryota; Metazoa; Chordata; Mammalia; Rodentia; Muridae. The record is from RNAcentral.
UAAACCUUGAUCCUUUGUUAC